Molecule: ribosomal RNA, 368 nt
Filed under: uncultured bacterium
Lineage: Bacteria
Description: partial 16S ribosomal RNA
Rfam family: Bacterial small subunit ribosomal RNA
Source: RNAcentral
CCUACGGGGGGCAGCAGUGGGGAAUAUUGCGCAAUGGGCGAAAGCCUGACGCAGCGACGCCGCGUGAGGGAUGAAGGUCUUCGGAUCGUAAACCUCUGUCAGCAGGGAAGAACGGUCACUGUGCUAAUCAGCAUUGAAUUUACGGUACCUCCAAAGAAAGCACCGGCUAACUCCGUGCCCGCAGCCACGGUAAUACGGAGGUUGCGAGCGUUAAUCGGAAUUACUUGGCGUAAAGGGCUCGUAGGUGGUAUGUCAAGUCAAGGGGGAAAUCCCCGCGCUCAAAGUGGGAACUUCCUUUUAAAACGGGCAACUGGAGUGGGUGAAGGGAUAGUCGAAUGCCAGGUGUAGGAGUGAAAACCGUAGAAAAC